UACGUAGGGGUCGAGCGUUGUCCGGAGUUACUGGGCGUAAAGCGCGCGCAGGCGGCGCGAUAAGACCGGCGUGAAAGCCCCCGGCUCAACCGGGGAGGGUCGUUGGAAACUGGGGGACUUGAGUGCAGAAGAGGAAAGCGGAAUUCCACGUGUAGCGGUGAAAUGCGUAGAGAUGUGGAGGAACACCAGUGGCGAAGGCGGCUUUCUGGUCUGUAACUGACGCUGAGGCGCGAAAGCGUGGGGAGCAAACAGG
Molecule: ribosomal RNA, 253 nt
Filed under: uncultured bacterium
Lineage: Bacteria
Description: partial 16S ribosomal RNA
Rfam family: Bacterial small subunit ribosomal RNA
Source: RNAcentral